UUAUCUUUCGAAUUUAUGCCAGUUGCACGCUCUCAUGUUUCAUUUUGUUCAUUGUAGAGAGUGUAAUGGGUGAUUUUGGGGGACUAAUGUACGUAUGAAGCUGCUAGGAUUGGUUGCCGAAUCUUGAAUCCUAAUGGAGUUCCUUUUAGCCAACUAUUGCUGGAGAAAUUAAAUGCAUAUUGCUGCGGCUAAAGUUGAAUACAUAGAUCCGAGGAAGCCUAUAUCUGAUCCGCAAGGCCAAUGUUUGUUGGAAAUAUGAUACAAAGACCAUCAGACAACGAUUUUUAGUUUGUAGUCGUGAAGGUUUGAAGGAUACAAAUGGUGGUCUGCCUAAGGUAUGUUUUUUGUUGUGUGUUGUUUAAUGAAGGUUAUGGUUAUAAUGGUUAUGAUAAUCUGUACAUUGUAGUAUAGUAUAUGCUCUUUUUUUUAAUUAGUAUAUGUAAGUUUACAUGUUAGUGGGUAUUUUUCAUGUAAUGUAAAUUAGAAAAUAUGAUAUAGUUAUUGUUAUAUAGUGUAAUUUAAGGGGGUUUUAUAUAUUUUUUUAUAUAGCGUCCAUUAUCCUUGUAUAUUAGCUAUUUGUUUUUAUAUUAGUGUAUGUGGUUUAAAUGUAAAAUGUGUUUAUCACAUGGUAUAAUUUUUUUUAUUAUUGUCUGGAUACUUUAUAAAUUAGUAAACAUGAGAUAGUAAUUUAAUUUGGUAUAAAUUAUGGUGCUUAAAAUAUUUUGGGUAAAGAUGUACAUUGGUAUAAUUUUUUAUAUUAGUGUGUUGGACAUGGUGAUGAACAUUAAUUCACACCUAUUGUUCACUGAAGUAUAUACUUUAUGUUCUUUUUGGCACAGACAGAUACUAAGCUUGAUCAACGCUGUGGAUG
Long non-coding RNA from Beta vulgaris subsp. vulgaris (sugar beet), 871 nucleotides. RefSeq lists it as uncharacterized. The transcript is spliced from 3 exons. NCBI's taxonomy places the organism in Eukaryota, Viridiplantae, Streptophyta, Magnoliopsida, Caryophyllales, Amaranthaceae. The record is from RefSeq and is a predicted model, not a curated record.